Molecule: ribosomal RNA, 253 nt
Filed under: uncultured bacterium
Lineage: Bacteria
Description: partial 16S ribosomal RNA
Rfam family: Bacterial small subunit ribosomal RNA
Source: RNAcentral
UACGUAGGUGGCAAGCGUUGUCCGGAUUUACUGGGUGUAAAGGGCGUGCAGCCGGGCUGACAAGUCAGAUGUGAAUUCCCGCGGCUCAACCGCGGAACUGCAUUUGAAACUGUCAGUCUUGAGUACCGGAGAGGUCAUCGGAAUUCCUUGUGUAGCGGUGAAAUGCGUAGAUAUAAGGAAGAACACCAGUGGCGAAGGCGGAUGACUGGACGGCAACUGACGGUGAGGCGCGAAAGCGUGGGGAGCAAACAGG